Molecule: ribosomal RNA, 484 nt
Filed under: uncultured bacterium
Lineage: Bacteria
Description: partial 16S ribosomal RNA
Rfam family: Bacterial small subunit ribosomal RNA
Source: RNAcentral
GGGGGGGGGGGGGGGGGGGCCGGGGGGGGGCGGGGCGGGCGGCGGCGGGGGGGCGAGCGUGGCGGCGGGCGGCGGACGGGGGAGGAGUUCGGCGGGAUCUGCCGUGGUGUGGGGGAUAACGUAGGGAAACUUACGCUAAUACCGCAUACGUCCUACGGGAGAACGUGGGGGACCGCAAGGCCUCACGCAGACAGAUGAGCCGACGACCGAUUAGCUAGUUGGUGGGGUAAAGGCCCACCAAGGCGACGAUCGGUAGCUGGUCUGAGAGGAUGAUCAGCCACACUGGGACUGAGACACGGCCCAGACUCCUACGGGAGGCAGCAGUGGGGAAUAUUGGACAAUGGGCGCAAGCCUGAUCCAGCCAUGCCGCGUGUGUGAAGAAGGCCUUCGGGUUGUAAAGCACUUUUGUCCGGAAAGAAAUCCCUGGAGCUAAUACCUUCGGGGGAUGACGGUACCGGAAGAAUAAGCACCGGCUAACUUCGUG